GGAAGGGGUGUAUUUAUUAGAUUAAAAACCAAUGCCCUUCGGGGCUCUCUGGUGAUUCAUGAUAACUUCUCGAAUCGCACGGCCUUGCGCCGGCGAUGGUUCAUUCAAAUUUCUGCCCUAUCAACUUUCGACGGCGGGGUCUUGGCCAGCMGUGGUGACAACGGGUAACGGAGGGUUAGGGCUCGACCCCGGAGAAGGAGCCUGAGAAACGGCUACUACAUCCAAGGAAGGCAGCAGGCGCGCAAAUUACCCAAUCCCGACACGGGGAGGUAGUGACAAUAAAUACUGAUACAGGGCUCUUUCGGGUCUUGUAAUUGGAAUGAGUACAAUUUAAAUCCCUUAACGAGGAACAAUUGGAGGGCAAGUCUGGUGCCAGCAGCCGCGGUAAUUCCAGCUCCAAUAGCGUAUAUUAAAGUUGUUGAGGUUAAAAGCUCGUAGUUGAACCUUGGGCCUAGCCGGCCGGUCCGCCUCACCGCGUGCACUGGCUCGGUUGGGUCUUUCCUUCUGGAGAACCGCAUGCCCUUCACUGGGUGUG
Molecule: ribosomal RNA, 535 nt
Filed under: uncultured fungus
Lineage: Eukaryota; Fungi
Description: SSU rRNA
Rfam family: Eukaryotic small subunit ribosomal RNA
Source: RNAcentral